CAAUUCUGCAGUAAAAUAAAGAAGUAAAGAGCAUCUCUGCCUAAAAUCUUUGAUUAAGAUUUAAGAGCCUGAAAAUACACAACUACAAUUGCUGAUAGUGAGGCAAUAUUAUCUCAGGAAUUCAGGAUAAUCUAUCUCAGAAAGCUACAACAAGAAUCUUACGAGCAGACGGAUUCAUGUUCAACAGCCAUCCUUUUCUGAAUCAAGAACCGGUAGAAUGCCCAAUGCUGAUGAAGAAAGAUGCAUACCCCGCACUAAUCCUCCAUACCCGGUCUUGAUUUUAUAGCACAGCAGCAAGAUAGAAUCCCAGAGUGCUGUUCUUCCCUGGAGAGAAAACUGAGGCAUCUUAUCCCAGUAUAGGGCAAAAACUGGGGGAUUUUGCUUUCCAACAGCCAAUAUGCAAGCUCCUGGAUGGAGCACGGAGGGAACACCAGAUACAACAGCUACAUACUUUUCAGGAAACCUUUCUUUAGGAGGUAAAACACCCAAAAAUAAGGGAUUUUUGCUAGACUGGAUUCCAGCAUAAGCUGUAGGAUCAACAUGU
Molecule: unclassified non-coding RNA, 544 nt
Filed under: Hevea brasiliensis (rubber tree)
Lineage: Eukaryota; Viridiplantae; Streptophyta; Magnoliopsida; Malpighiales; Euphorbiaceae
Source: RNAcentral